UCUUCGUAUUUGUAUUUUCACUUUCAAUUUAUUCCUCGUUUGUAGAAACGGUGAGGUUCCAAUUUCCUAUAUUUAAACCCCAAAUUCAAGCAAUAAAAGUAAAGAGUUUUCUGCCAUUGAAGUUACACUAACUUAUAUUACUAGGAAACCUAUCAUACCUAUAUAUAAAUAUAUCUUCUAUAGAAGGAAGCGACUAAGACAGAUAAAACUAAACUACAUAAUGACCUUAUACAAGACCCAACAAAUUUGACAACACUUCCACUAAUUCAUUUUUUUUUUUUUUUGUUAAUAGGUAUCAGUUCCAUUGUGAAGUCAAAACUAAGUAUGCAAAAAUGAGUUACUGAGUAACUAUUUCCACGUUCUAAAAGGCUCCUUCUUUAUCAAAUCAUAACUAAGACCAGGAGUUCUAGUCAGGUGUCUCGACUAUUCCAAGGCUGGACCAAACUUUCAGUAUAUAAGGGGUGAACAAAUCCUAAGUAUGCAUCAAGUGAGAAUCGGCCAGCGAUCUUGACCAACAUGGCCAAACGACUACAACCACUUGGUUAAUAUAUUGGAGGGUUGUAGUAAUUAAACACUACACCAGCAAUUUUGACAACUUAUAGGAUUAUAAUGAUUCAUUAUAGAUACGUUCCAAAGAGGUUCUUAUUUCUUAUAUGAAGACAAGUUUUGAGGGAUUUUCAAUUUCCUAGAGGCACCAAAGAAACAAGGCUGUGUUAUUGACAAUUUCUAUGACAAAAGACACAAGAUACAAAGGUUGUGUGAUUGUCGAUUUUCACAACAAAAGUUACAAGGUAGUGGAUUCAGAUAAUCACCAAGUAAUAGGUCCACGACAAAGAUAGGAAUUCAUAGAAGAUCAACAAAUAGUCUUAUAUAGUCAAUAGCUGCAGAAUGUGGUAUAUACAUUAUUCAGCAUUAACCCCAUAUCAAUCCUAUAGAUCUCCCGUAGGUGCAUUGCAUUGCAUACAAAUCCGAGAGAUCCAAUGAAUUUUAAUCACUCUGAAAAGAGAGACAUUAAUCAUUAGUCAACUCUUCAAAAACUUAAGGAAUCUCUAAAGCAAAGUAACAAUCACAGAUGGCUUGAAACUUCACUAAACAACAUCGAGCACGCAUCAGAUCGUAUCAAACAAAUCGUGAAGGACAUGCAAAUUAUUUCCAAAGAAAAUAAUAAAAUCCAUGCAGAAAUUUUUUUAUAAGAAAUAUAGAGAGAGAAAUGAACAAAAGUUAGAAGCUUUAUCUUCAUCACGACAUUGUUCUUCCUUAAAUUAGGUUAUCUCAUGUAUCUCUCAUGGUCAUAGAAAAAGACACUAACAAACACAGAACCAAGAAACAACAAGAGAUUCGCCGGAAAAAAAAAAAACGGUUUAUUAAUUGUUUUUUUAUUUUUGUCUUUUAUUUUUAUUUUUCAGAAAAGUAAAGAGCACAAAACUGAAGAUUAAAGGGGAAAUAAAUCGAAAUCCAGAUAAGGAAGAGGCGUACUUAUCGCCGGAGGAGAAGCUGUAGAGCUUGCCGGAAGCAGAGACGACGAGAAGAGCGACGGAUGCGUCACAGAGAACAGAAAGCUGACGAGCUUUCUCGAUGAGACCGUUGCGACGUUUGGAGAAGGUGACUUGUCGGCUACUUUUGUUCUCAAUUCGCUUGAUUUCUAGUUUUUUUCUCCCCAUGGCUUCUGUCUCCGAGAGGGCUUUAUUCCCUAAUUUGAUCCUCAGGUUGGGUUCGAAGUCGCCGGAGAUACUAAGCGUUUUUCUCUUUCCUUUUUUUUUUCUAUUUUUUUUCUAUUUUUUUUAUUUCUUUCUAUUUUUUGUGCCUAUCUACUUUUUCUUCGUUGGGCAAGUUUUUUUUUUUUUUGGGGUAAACGAGAGUGAUGAAAAAAAAAAUAUGUGACUAAAAACGUUGCGUUUUGAAGACAAGGUAGCCACGUGUACCGCAUGACGAGCGCAUUUGCUGCUCUUGCGUUGCCUUCCCCUGCGGAUUGAACUAUUGUAGAAAGAGCUCUAAACCCCCACUCUCCAUCAUCUUUGAACUCUGUCGUCGACAUAUCAAAACCUUAAAACUGGUUCUCUUUAUCGCUAGCUAUUGUAUAACACCUUUUCAUAAUUUGGUAAGACACGAGUUAAGACUUUUACAUAAACAACCACACAUAAGGAAUUCAGUCAUUUGUUCUUUGAUCUUUAUUCUAAAUUUAACCCAAAUCUUUGGCUACCAUCUGAUGUAGACCAUUACAUAUCUGAUGUUUUGAACUAAAGCUAUUUUGCUCAACUCGCAUACAAUUUCAUUGGACCAAACCAAACCUACAAAGACUUUCAAUUGGAUUGUAUUUACCACAAAAGUGUACUAAAAUCAAAGUUUCUAUAGAUCUUGUAAGCAUAAGUUUGUUCCCUCGCAUAAUCAGGUUGUUUUUUUUUUAUCAUUGCCACAUUAUAGCUACAUGUCUAUACUGUUGGUGUACUCAGUAGUUUUUUUUUUUUUUUUUUUUUUUUCAUGGUG
This 2484-nucleotide long non-coding RNA is filed under the name Arabidopsis lyrata. Its description in RNAcentral is "long non-coding RNA (ALYR_LNC001184)". Lineage: Eukaryota; Viridiplantae; Streptophyta; Magnoliopsida; Brassicales; Brassicaceae. The record is from RNAcentral.